AUGGUGAGGACCCCCUGCGUCGUCCACACGCUACAGCUGGUGGUUGGCAUGAUAAAAAAAGAAACAAGUGUUAAUAAACUUCUAGAUAAGGUCCGUUCACUGGUGAAGCUCUUCCGAAAAUCUUCCGUAGCAACUGAGAGGCUAUUGAAGGAGUGCAAAUUAACUCUGGUGAAGGACUGCCCCACUAGGUGGUCGAGCACCUACAUUAUGAUCAACCGGCUUCUUCAAGUAAAGGACUCGGUUGUGAAAGUUGCGGAUGGCAUGACGUGGGACUAUCUCCUACCAAGUGAAUGGCAAAAGCUGACCGCUGUGAAAGAAUUGCUCUCCCCCUUUGCUGAGCAUACACAGAUGCUGCAAAGCGACACACAGAGUCUGUCCCUUGUCAUUCCUGCCCUUCUUGACCUACAAGCUCACCUGUCUGACAUACUUGAUGAGCAGGGUCAUACUUUCAAGGACCUAGGGUCCUUGGCAGUAAAGAUGAGGGCCAACAUAGAGCUGCGAUUCGGCUGCUUUCUUGACAGCACGCACUCCAAAUUCUCACCCCUUGCUGCUGCUGCUUGCUUCCUCGAUCCAACAGAAUCACUCCUCACGAAUGAUGAUUUACAAAUUCAGGACAUUCUGAGAAAAGCGCAAGAGUACAUUGUUCAGUUGGUUCCACCAGUAGUUCGUGAGGAGGAGGAGGAGGCUGAGGAAUCGGAGAAGGGAGAAGGAGCAGCAGCCGAACCACUGAAAAAGCGGUCAAGAUUUAAAUAUUUUUCCAAAACACACCGACCAUCCAAGUCUAGCCGGCCAAAACCGUGCGUCAGGCAUGAAAUGGAGAAGUAUAAGCAGGAACUGUCCCACUUAACUGAAGAAGAGUGCUCAAGUGCCCUUGAGUUUUGGAUUGCACAGCCGGAUCAUGCAUAUCCUCUCCUGAAACCCAUUGCCUUAGAUAUUAUAGCCAUGCCUGCCUCUCAAGCAUUUGCCGAGAGAGUGUUCAGUGUUACAGGUGACCUCAGUCGUGGUCGUCGCAACAGAGCCAGAGUCAUUUUAGAGAGAAGUGCUUUCCUCAAAUUGAACCGGUAG
RNAcentral lists this long non-coding RNA (1065 nucleotides) under Gadus morhua (Atlantic cod). Its description in RNAcentral is "lncRNA (ENSGMOG00000033956.1)". Lineage: Eukaryota; Metazoa; Chordata; Actinopteri; Gadiformes; Gadidae. The record is from RNAcentral.